Molecule: ribosomal RNA, 544 nt
Filed under: uncultured beta proteobacterium
Lineage: Bacteria; Pseudomonadati; Pseudomonadota; Betaproteobacteria
Description: bacterial SSU rRNA
Rfam family: Bacterial small subunit ribosomal RNA
Source: RNAcentral
GUAACAGGUCUUCGGAUGCUGACGAGUGGCGAACGGGUGAGUAAUACAUCGGAACGUGCCUAGUAGUGGGGGAUAACUACUCGAAAGAGUAGCUAAUACCGCAUGAGAUCUACGGAUGAAAGCAGGGGACCUUCGGGCCUUGUGCUACUAGAGCGGCUGAUGGCAGAUUAGGUAGUUGGUGGGGUAAAGGCUUACCAAGCCUGCGAUCUGUAGCUGGUCUGAGAGGACGACCAGCCACACUGGGACUGAGACACGGCCCAGACUCCUACGGGAGGCAGCAGUGGGGAAUUUUGGACAAUGGGCGAAAGCCUGAUCCAGCAAUGCCGCGUGCAGGAUGAAGGCCCUCGGGUUGUAAACUGCUUUUGUACGGAAUGAAAAGCCUGGGGCUAAUAUCCCCGGGUCAUGACGGUACCGUAAGAAUAAGCACCGGCUAACUACGUGCCAGCAGCCGCGGUAAUACGUAGGGUGCAAGCGUUAAUCGGAAUUACUGGGCGUAAAGCGUGCGCAGGCGGUUUUGUAAGACAGUGGUGAAAUCCCCGGGCUC